RNAcentral lists this ribosomal RNA (113 nucleotides) under Rhododendron molle. The record is from RNAcentral. Lineage: Eukaryota; Viridiplantae; Streptophyta; Magnoliopsida; Ericales; Ericaceae.
UGCGAUCAUACCAAAGACUAAUGCACCGGAUCCCAUCAGAACUCCGCAGUUAAGCGUGCUUGGGCGAGAUUAGUAAAAGGAUUGGUGACCCCCAGGGAAGUACGAGUGUUGCA